CAAAUUCUGGUUUAUUUGCAUUCAUAGGAAACACCUAAGGACUUUUAAACCUCAAAGAUGAGGGUGGGAACAACAGAGAAGAACCUAUUAUUGGGCCACCUAUCAAGCAAAAAGAAAAUACAGCAAUACAAGGUCUCCAGAUUUGCCACCCAUGCUGAGUGCCGUGGUGUGAUCAUGGCUUAUUUCAACCUCAACCUCCCCCACUCAAGCGAUCCUCCUGCCUCAGCCUCUGGAGUAGCUGGGACUACAGGCACGCACCACCACACCCAGCCAUAAUUUGCCUCUUGCUGUAACUAAAAGGUCACAAAAACAAAGAAUUCUAAAAAAUCUUCUUCUUAAGUGUGCCUCACUACCACAAAUUAUGCAGUCAAGUCUCCCAUAUUUGGGGACAUCGCAGGGGUCAGCAUGUCCAGAGUGCAAUGGAUAAGCCUUGCCCUGGGAAAACCACCUUCGUGAUCAUGGUUAUCUCCCCUGCCAGUUUUCUCUUAUAACAGAAUGAAGAUAACACCGAAAGUGACAAUGUCAAGUCAGACCCAUAGGACUCAGAGAUUUUACUCAAUAGCAACAUUUACUAAUUCAAGGGAAAAGAUAACUGUAAGACACAGGUGAAGCUCUGUGACCCACUCAGGUCCUCACUUUGCUUCUUGACUGUGUGCCAGAAAUAAGAGUCUCUCUGUGAGCUCUUGCCCUCAGCCUUUAACUGCUUGCCGAUGGUCACCAGUUGCUGGUGGUGAGCUCCCUGCUGAUGUCCUGUUUCUUUGUUAAGCAUAGGAGAUGACUUCAGGGUCAUGAAAAAUCUUUGCAGAAGGGAUGAGUGCAUUUAGGGAAAUUGUGACCAGCUACUGACAUCCACGAGUCUGGUUGCUCAAGGUGCUAUCUGAGACUGAACAAACACAGACUUUUCCUCUUUCAGGAGUUCCCUGAAACUCCUCCAACUUACUCUCUAGCUGUACAAAAACUGUGUGCUGCUUCUUUCUGUUAAGAUAGAUUUGUGAGAUCUUGCCCCAUCCCACCAUCUUCUUGCUUUGGCCAAAUUGAAUAAAUCUUUUUUUCGAAGCACCUGUAUGUCAGUGUGUUUGCAUCAGCUGUACAUUGGCGACACAAGCUUGAACUUGGGGUUUUACAACAACACCUGGAUAGAUUCUCCUGAGGACAUUGAGUUUACAAAUGCGUACCCUCUUUCCUGCAGCCCUCAGGGCUUGCAGAAGCAGCCCAUUCUUCCCUGGUGAAAGCUGGGACUGCCUUCAAGCUGGAGGUCGUGGCUGCAGAGGCCUCUACCCGACAAAGCAUUAGGUGUGCUCCUGGAGAAUAGCCCACUUCUUCCCAAAGCUGACAGGACCAUAGCUAGAAGUAACACCCAGCAUCAGCCGACGCAGAGAAUGACGGACUUGAAAUUGACUGUACGUCAAAGGGGAAACUUAACUGCUACAGUGGACUUUAGAAGAGAUGGCCACCAUAGAUUCACGUGGAAAUGUUCCAGUUCCCUUGGAAAAUGUUAGAAGAAAUGCUGACAAUUGAGAAAUAUGGGAAUUCUGGAAUGGGCAUAUUGCAUAAGACCAGAAAACUCACCUAAAUUUUGUGUUGUCUGGGAAUGCCCAAAGGACACAUUAUUCACCAAGGCCAUUCAGAAUGCUUUGGAGAGGCAGGCACCGGAAUUACUAACAAAUUCGGUCAUAACUGUCCUCUGCAUGCCACAGCUGAUAGUAAAAAAGGGAGUUACAGUUUUGGGCUCAAAUAUAUAUAAACACGCCCCAAAGCAUUAGAGGCUAGGUGCAGCUCUUAACUGCUGGAAUCCAGAAAGUGGCAAUUACCACAGUGACCAGCAGGUCCUUUGCUUACUUUUUAAUGCCAUACAUAUAUAUGUGUGUGUGUGUGUAUAUAUAUAUAUAUAUAUAUAUAUAUAUAUACACACACACACAUAUAUAUACGUGUAUCACAUGUAUAUACGUAUAUAUACACGUAUAUACACGUAUAUAUACGUGUAUAUAUAUAUAUAUUUCUGUUGAGUGUUUUGGGUUCCUUGCACACUGGAUAUUAGUCCCUUGUCAGAUAAAUAGUUUGCAAAUAUUUUCUCCCACUCAUGUUGUCUCUUCACUCUGUUAAUUAUUUCCUUUGCUGUGCAGAAGCUUUUUCAUUUAAUAUAGUCCCAGCCAGGCACGGUGGCUCAUGCCUCUAAUCCCAGCACUUUGGGAGGCUGAGAUGGGCGGAUCACCUGAGGUCAGGAGUUCAAGACCAGCCUGAGCAACAAGGUGAAACCCCAUCUCUACUAAAAAUACAAAAAUUAGCCUGUGUGUUGGCAGGCACCUGCAAUCCCAGCUACUUGGGAGGCUGAGACGGGAGAAUUGCUUGAACCUGGGAGGCAGUGGUUGCAGUGAGCUGAGAUCACGCCAUUGCUCUCCAGCCUGGACAAUGGAGCGAGACUCCGUCUCAAAAAAAAUAAAUAAAUAAAUUUAAAAAAUAUAUAUAUGUGUGUGUGUGUGUGUGUGUGUGUGUGUGUAUAGUCCCAUUUGUCCAUUAUAGAUCAAGAAAUUGUUUCUAGACACAGAAACAUGGAGAAAUCUUAGGAAAAAAAUAGAGCUGAGUGAAAAAAGUUGGGAAUAGAAUAUAUAAAGGUCAAUAUUACUUACAUAAAUUUGGAAUACAUGUAAAAAGCAGUACAUGUUUUAUUGGAAAGGCUGAAAUGAAAUAGUAACCUCAAACACCUUAGGAGGUUUGCAUGGUGAAGGAAAGGGAUGCAGCUGAGAGAACAGAGGAAAAGGGAAAAUGCAAAUUAAGGAAAUGGAGAGAAGUUCUUCAUAGACAAGUGAUGGGUGCUGCCUCUUCAGACUGAACGAUGUGAUCAUUGAUCCCGUGUUUUAAGAUGGAAACAAAAGACAAUUUGACUAAGUGGUGUGGUGAGGAGCUACUCGAGCUCAUUAGCUAGCUUGAAAUUCAUAGUAAAAUUCAUGAUGAUAUAUCUUUCCACAUCUGCCCAAUUAGGGGAGAGGAAAUAGUCUGACAUUAUCAAGUGGUGGUGAGUAUGUGGUAAACUGACACUCACAUACUCUGUUUUUAGUAAACGUAAAUUUUAUUUAAUGGAUACCUUUAAUUUAUUUUAACUUAAUAAGAAAUUUCAUUUUGAAAACAGUUUUGAGUAGAACAAUUUUCUAGUUUCACCAACAAAAUGAACAUGUGUUUUCAAUAAAUAUUUUCAGAAAUAUGCAUAAUCUUAGUCAUUUUAACAUUCAUUUUUACUCUCAAAAUCUUCCCAAUGGGAAGAUAAAGUAUGUCGUCAAUUUUGCCUUGAGUUCUUAGGAAGGCAUAUGUGAGUUAUUCGUCUCGGGUUUUUUUUUGUUUUCUUUUUUGUUUUUUUGUGGGGUUUUUUGGUGGUUAUCAAGGCAUUGAAGGCAAACUAGGAACACAUAGGAAAAAGUUGCAAAGGAGUUUGCAAUUUACCUCGUGUAUUAGUCAGGCUUCUUCAGAGACUGGCUCACCUCAUGAAGGCUGAAAAAUCCAGAGGUCUACAGUAGCAAGCUGGAGACCCAAGAAAGCUAGUGGUGUAGUUCCAGUCUGAGUCCAAAAGCCUGAGAAAUAAAAAGAGCUAAAGGUGUAAGUUCAGUCUGAGGGAAAGAAAAGACUGAUGUCUGAGAUCAGCAUUCAGGCAGGCAAAGUUCUCUGUUAUCCAGGCUUUCGUUCUAAUCAAGCCUUCAAUUGAUUGGAUGAGGCCCACACACUUUAGCUGCUGUGUCAAAUUUAUCUACUGAUUCAAAUGUUAAUUUCCUCCAGAAACACCCUCUGAGACACACUCUAUGUUUGACCAAAUAUCUGGGCACCCUGUGGACCAGUCAAGAUGCCACAUAAAAUUAACCAUUACAACGUCAAGUAUUUGAAAACAUACAUAUUUUAUGACACAGAAAGUCUACUAUUAGAUUUAUAACCUAGAAUAACUCUCCCAUAUGUGCACCAAACAUUUCAACUCCUCAUCAACAGAAGAACAGAUAACUACAUUGAGAUAUUAACAUACAAUGGAAUAUUGUAGGCAGUGGAAAUGAAUAAGUAGAUGACUUCAACCAGCAUGGUUGAAUCUCAAGUACUAAAUACUGGGAGAGGAGUCACAAUGCAAGGCAUACAGAGUGUUUCCAAAUUAAAAAAACGUAUAUAAAAACAGGAGAAAUUUUCCACAUAGAGAAAGGGAACAAUAAUAUAAAGAGAUUUAUUAGCAAAGCCAGUUCAGGAACAAGAUCACCAUGGUGAGAAAGGGAGAAAGAUGGCAGGAGUUAGGACAGGCUUAGGACCAUGCAUAGAGCAGAGGCAUGAGAUGUUUUUCAGCCUGAGGGACAGGAACAGGAUGUUCUUUUAUUAUUCUUUAAAAUAUGCAUCUGUUUUAUGAGCCCUUAUGAGCCUGUGCUACGUUAUAUAAAACUUUUACAAAAUGGAAUUUGGAAUACCAUGUUAGAUUAUUUGUGGGGCUUUUUAAGAAUCAAAACUUGUUAAAAUCUUCAUGCAAUACUGUUCUGCUUAUCUUUAAGGAAUUUUAUAUCUAAGUGCCACUACAAGCAGGCUAUUUACUAACAAGAACAAAAUUAAGGCUCAGUGUGGGCAGUGUCUGUUACUCAGUUCCAUGAUGAAAAUCCCCAGGUAACUCUGAUCUUGGCCUCUAAUCUACAGGAGAAAAAAUCUAGAAUGGUGAGAUUUUCAGUACUGCUUCCUCCAAUGCAAACACCAUGCACUGAAAUUACAUUACUCUUCCCAUUCUAGCUACUUUAACAUAUGGUCUCCUUCCACAUCUAUGAUGUUAAAACAUGAAAUCUCACACAGAAGAAUGGGAAUGGACCCUACAUAACGUUCAUCUAAGAGGCUAGAACAAGCUGUGGCCCACCAGUGACAAAAUGGCAAAGAUGCCUUGUUGUCAAAGAGAGAAAGAAGUCCUUUCACUUUGCCAAUAUUCUCAACUUCGCAUAAACUAUGUCUUAGCACAACGACUUUCUUAGUUAUUUUAAGCGCCAUUAUUAGAGAUUUAUUAGGCAUGGUGGGAGUGGUAUCGAUUAAAAUGGAAACACAUGUUUAGAAAUGUAGACCUUUUUAAAACCAGAGGUCUUUUGAAAGACAUGGAAUAACAUGUUAUAAUACAUAAAAAUAUAUAUGUAAAACGGUUAUAUUCUGUAUUUCCUACAUUUUAUUAUACAUUCUCUAGAAUCUGUUGCAAUAGAAAUAUAUUGGCUAACCCUCUAGAAUAUAUUUUAUAAAAGCCAUUUUAGGAAGAUAAACACAUCUGAGGCCACAGGAUACAUUUUAGAAAUUCUAAGUAAGUGUAAAUAUAAAAGUCUAUUAUGGGCUUAUCACCUGAACAUUUAAUCAAGAGAAAGAACAACUGCAUGUUUACUUGGGAGUUCUAAAUUAUGUCCACUGAUGUUUUGGCCCUUUUCCCAUUGAGAGGCAGGGUCUAGGUUACUGGACCAAUAGAACAAGGAAGUGACAUUGACGUUUUCCAGUCCUGGCCCUGAAGACCUGGCAGCUUCCACUUUCACUCUAGGAUCUAACAUUGUGAUCGACACCAUCAUCCAGCCCAUCAUUCAAAUCUGAAACUUUGGAGAAGUAGUCAACAACUUCUCAUUCAGUUUCACCAUCCAAUCAGUCAUGGAAUCCUGAUGAUCUUUAACUUCCUCCACCUGGCCCAAAUAUCUCCUUUCCUCUCUCUUCCAAUUUUGUCUUUAUUCUCAUUGUUCUGUAAUUACACAAUUUUCCUACUGAUUUCUAGAAUGAAAAACUGCUGCAUUCAUUUCCAUUAUUAACAUUCUUCCACGUUUGUGUGUCUUUUGGGAUAACAACCAAGUAUUCUCAGAACAGCACUAUAAAGCAGUAUAAUGUCAAAGGGAUCUGAGAUCAAAGCUUUGUUCUAGAUAACAGACGAGAUUAGAUCUUGGCACUGUUAACACGAACAGAGGCUGAUGAAAGAGAAAUAAUCUGAGGAGGGUAUAAGGUUGCAAAGAAGGAAAAACAAUGCUAAAACGUUAAAGUAUAAAUAGCAGUACUAAUAAAGCCUACGAGGUGGUGGCCUAGCUCCAGAUAGUCUUUUGUUUAGCAGAAUACUUUGAUGGACCAGUUCUUUGAGGGAAAUUAUAUCGCAGAGCCUAAUCAAAAGAUGAAUAAAGAUAUUACUUUCCAGAAGCCAAGUUUUGAAUAGCUGGCCUUUGAGGGUGAGUGAUAAGCAGAGUAGAGAGGUUAAAUGGUGAGGUGAAUGCCAGGUGUGAUCCUGGGAGAUGAUUCAUGGACUCAUCCUGCAGAACCUCGAGAACACAGCCCUGUGAAUGUCCAGUAAAAGGUACAUGGGGGCACGUGGAUCUGGCAAUAUGAUUUUUCCCUACACAGAUUGACUUAGACCCUAAGAAGUAUGUUGCAGUACCAUUCAAGCAAUAGUUUUAGCUCUUUCAUUUAUCAACCCCCAAAAUAAUGAUCGGGCAGCUAAAGUGUGUACAGUUCUGUGCUGGAAGCUUUGAGAAAUGCCCAAAACAAUACGUUCAUGGAAUUUGUGGACUUGCUGACCAGGAGUUCUCUAUAACUUUUGUUAAAACCAACAAUCUAUGUUUCUACGUAUUUUCAGCCAUUCCCAUAUUUGAUUGACAAUAGAUAUUAUUACUAGAUGGUCAUGAGUUAGGUGUAACAUAGAAGAAAAAUGGAUUUCCAUGAAUAUGAGUGUAUUUCAUUAGUAAAAAAUAUUUAUUAAUGAUAAUAUUAAAGUGACAAAUAUAGUUUUACUACAUAAAUUGCCUGUAUAUACAAGUAAAAUACAUGCAUUAAUACUUUUCAGUAUAUUGUUUGAAAUAUGCUUCCUUUGCACAAAUGUUUUAAUCAAUUUGGUUAAUUUGACAGGUCUCGAAAUAUCAAGGAAUGGACAAUUUAGUUGAAAAUACCUUUAGAAAUUCAUAAAAACCAGCAAGAUGCUUUUGCCUAGUGUGCCAGAUUUUUCCAGUGCUGAAUUUUAAAAGGUUGUUAAGGUUGCUGUUAGAUGAAGUUUCCUCACACUAUCUAAAAAUAGAUUAUCUACAUAGCCUCUUCAAGUUCCGAACAUAUUAUUUUCCCCCAAGAACUUAGAGGACAAUCAAAUUCAAAUAAAAAUUUAAAAAGCACAUCAAAAAUCAUCUUGUUCACUGAUUCUCUUUGUUCCGAAUAAAGGACAUUCUUGUCUACUACUUUGGUAGGGAUUUUGAGAAUAGCCUCUGAAACACUUCUUUUCAGAGAGAAAUACACACACACACACACACACACACACACACCCCAGUAUACUCACCUGCCUUUUUGCAAUAUAUCUUGUGUUUUGCUUAUCCAUAGAGCUUUUCAUUUUAACAUCUCUGAAAUACAGAUAAGACACACAGUCAAGGGUGCCUGGCAAUCACUCUUGGCAGGGGUGCAUUUUCCAUAUAUGCUUAAAACUUCUGAGACCCAUGACCCAGGCUGUCCUCUUCCACGCUGUACUCCUAGGUAGGAACUGAAAAAGCUAUGUGGAUAAUAAGCAGGGCCAGCCCGGAAGGGUAGGCUGUCCUGUGCAAGAAGCCUGGCCUAUGGGGAGCACUGCUUUGCAUGGACCUCACCACACUCUGGGGCUCAGCCACAGAGGGGCAGUAUACCUGUUUUUCCCUCUAAUACAUACAACACAGCCUAUUGGAGCAUUUCUGUACUAGCCCCAAAUGUCAAAAAACAUCCUUUAAUCUCUUUAAUCUCUGAGCUUAAAUUUUGGUUUUACUUUAACUCUGUGAUCUUGGCAAGUUACAUAACCUUUUAGUCCAAAUGAUUGCUUAUCUGUAGAAUGGAAGUAGUCAUCCACUGUAUGGAUUUUUGUAAGAUUUUUGGUACAAUGCAGAUUAAAAUUUUUGCAUAGUGACUGGACCAUAGUAGGGGAUAAUAUAAGCCAACUAUUGUUAUCAUUUUUGUUGUUAGUUACCACCAUAAAAUCUAUUUUUAAUAAUUUCAAAAAUUAUAUUGAACAUUGUCUUUGAUAACAUCUGCUUUCAACACUUACGAUAUGUCUUCAAACUCACUAAUCAUAAAAGAUUUAACAUUCCAGAAGCCCAUCGGCCAGAUAUAUAAGUCUCUAAAAUAUACUUAAAAUAAUCUCCCCUCUAAUGAGCCAAGUAAGAGUAUUAGGAGUAUUGUGAUAAAGAAUUGGCAAAAAGAUUGAUAUCAAAGUGGAAGUUUUUAUUUGACUGCUCAAAUACAAUGAAGGAAUGAUUUAUUUCUUUGAUGUAAUAUGAAAAGUGGCCAGAGCCCUUUGAGGACAAUGAAGAACAAUGACCUCACCGAUGUACAUGCAGCCUAUUCCCCAGUAAUUAGACAAAUCAUCCAUUUUUGUUUACUUUGCCUCAUAUUUUGUGCUUUGACAUCAGAACUUGUUCCAUGUCCAAGUUUCCAGAUUUUUUUUCAAACUUUCAAAACUGAACAUUCAAUAUGUUUCUCCUGCGGUCUGUCCUAGCUGUCAUAGAGCACUUUACUCAUCACAUCAGCUGAAGAAGAUCACACCAUUGAUGAAAGCAAUAAUACAGCCAACAUUGUGCCAUAGAAAUAUUAAUCUGACUUCUGCUUAUUAGAUAUGCCAGAGGGCAGAAAUAAUGGAAACAAGUAUAUAAAUUGGAAUGCUAUUUCAAUAGUUUAGCUAAUAUAUAUUGGACUUGCUACCAUAAUGAAUAUGAUUGUUGAGAGAUGGGCACAGGUAUAAGAACUGAUCUCAGGAAUAAUAACUGAUAUUAAUUGAUUUGAUGAUGGAAAAGUAUAAAAUCUAGUAGUGAAGUUUGGAAAAUGAUACAGUUAAUAUAAAACACAAUUUAAAAUUGGGAACAGGUUUAAUAGGUCUGGAACAUUCUGGAUUUAUGUUCAAGUUAGCAUAGAAACGAAUAGGAAGUGAUUAAUAUUGAGACUAGUGCUUGAAAGAGAGAACAAAUAUGUAAGUUACUGGUAAAGAAUUUUCCACAUAGAGAGUGGUUCAGAAAAAGUAGCACAGCAUCAAAGAAAGAAGGUUGAAAACGUACUUUCUAAGACGUCUGGUGAAGGAGCUAAGAGGAAUACUCAAAAAGUGACAGAAACCUGGCUGUCCCAUGUCCCAUGUCAUGUAAAUCAAAGAAAGGGCAGAGUUCAAAAGAAAUAUUCCAGCAUUGGAGACUGUCAUAUAAUGAAGAUACAAUGCAGUAAACUGAGGAAUGGAAAAAGCCACUGGAUGUAUCUAAUAUGUUUACUACGGGUUUUCAAGAGAACAGUUUUUGUAGCCAGGAUCGAGCAAAAGCCUGGUUGAAAGGACAAAAGGUGUAAAACUGGAGAAGGAGGUGGAAAAUUAAAAGAAUUUGAAAGAGUUACAAAAAUGCCACCCUAAAAUAUGAUGCUUUGCUCUGCUGAUUACUUGGAACUGAGGGCACUUUGGAAACAGCAAACACAGGCAGUGCAGGCAGAGGCUUUCUCUGGGCUCUGCUCAUCUGUCCAAAGACGGGUCCUCCCAAAGGAACUCAACUGUCAUGAAUACCCUCCCUCGGCAUUCAACCAGGAAAGAUUAAAGGAUCACUGGAGAGAACAUUAGAAUUUCACCCCAUGCCCAUUCAAUCAUUUAUUCCUCCUAAAGCUGCAGAGACUGAAUCGGCAUAACAGGACAAUCUUUGUGCCCCAUACCUUUCCUCCCUUCACCCUUCUAUAACUUGUGUCACCACCACCCCCCAAGAACCCCACAAUUCUAUGCCUCUCAGCUCAGGAUGCUAUAUAAGCUUCAAUCAUCUGACCAUUCUUUGAGUCUCAUAUAUUAUGGGAUUCUCAUGUGUACAUAAUUAAAAUAUUUUCCGUAUUAAUCUGUCCCAUGGCAAUUUAAUUUUAGUCCAGUCAAAGAACUUAGGAAGGUAGAAGGAAGCUGUUUUUUACUCCCAUGCAUACCUCCAUAAUAGUAAAAGUAAUAUAUAUUAUAGAGCAAAAUACAAUAGAAAGAAAUCCUGAUAAAGAAUAAAGUCCAGAAUAAGAGCGAAAGUCAUGUUUUACAAAAGGAAAUACAUGAUAAAGUAAGAUCUACAGAGGUUGGAGAGAAUGCUGUUUAGUAAAUACAUUGUAGGUAACUUCUCAAAAUAAAAUCCUCAGAUAAAAAUGUAAAAAUUAAAUAAUCAAAUAUACAAUUUUUAUCAUUUAAAUUAAAUACAAUUAUUGAUAUAGUUACAUUUAAACCCAUCAUCUUACUAUAUAUUUAUUUUCUAUUUUUUCAUUUUACUUCCAUUGUCCCACAUGUUCUGGGUUUUUAAUUUUCUAUUUUCUUCCUUCUUUUGAUUAAUUAAUUGCUUUUUGUAAUUCAGUUAAAAUGUGCUGGCUUAUUAGCUGCAACUCUUCACCAUUUUAGCAUUUGCUGUAGUGUCUAGAGCAUACAUCUUUAACUUUUCAGAGUCUACCACAGUCUUUCAUGUUAUAUCCCAACAAUUCCUAUAGUAUAAGAAACUUACAAUUAUGUACUUCCCAUUUUUUAAUCUACAUUCUUUGUGCUAUUUUUUCAUGUAUUAUACUUUUACCCAACAUACACACAAUAUAUACACUUAUAUCUAUAUAUAUUUGUACAUACAUAUACAUUUAGAUGUGCUAUAAACGUUACAAUAUAUUGUUAUUAAUUAUACUUACAUUCAAUUUUAUCUUAAAAAUUUUAAAUAUGGCAAAUUGUGUAUAUUUGCUCAGGUAGUUCAUAUUUCCAGUGUUUUGCAUUGUUUUUUCUGUAUUCUUAUUUCAAUUUUAUACAUUUUCCUUCUCUCUACAAGAUUUUCUUUCAUACUUCAGAUAUGCAAGUCCGUUUGUGACUAAGUCCUUCAAACACUUUGGCUAAAAAAGUACGUAUUUCACUUUUAGUUUGGAAAGACAUUUUUGCUAAGUAUAAAACUUGAGGUUUAUGGAUUUUUUUUUCCUUUCAGUACAUUAAAAAUGCUUUUCUAUUGUUUUCUCUCUUGUAUUUUUAACAGUGAGAAAUCAGGCAUUAUCUUUUAUCAUUACUCCAUACAUAGCAAUAGCAGGUUUUAUUUUUCCUGAUAACAUUUAAUACUGUUUCUUUAUCCCUGGUUUUGAGCAAUUUGAUUGUGAUUUAAGUUGCUGUCAUUUUCUUCAUAUUGCUUUUUCUUUGAGUUUAUUCAGUGUCUGUGAUCUGUGGAUUUAUAAUUUUCAUCAAAUUUAGAAAAUUGUCAGUAAUCUUUUACAAAUAUUUUAUGUAUCAAUUUUUUCCUUCAUUUGGGGGGGCUCUCUUGAUACAAAUUGAUCAAGUAAUUACACUGCUUAAUUUCUCACAGCCCUCUGUUGCCCUCUUUUUUAUUUUUAUUUUUAUUUUUAACUUUGAGUUGUUUUGUUCUCCUUGUGUGUCAUUUUGGAUAGGUUCUAUUGCUAUAUUUUUAACUUGAUUAAUUUUCUGCAAUGUCUAAUCUACUGUUAAUACCAGAAGUGCAUUAUAUUUUUAAAAAUCUCAGACGUGAUAAUUUUCUUCUCUUUGUCUUCAUUUGGGUCUUUUUAUAUGUCAGAUAGUUCCACUUAUCAUUUUCAAUAUUUGCAACACAGUUAUUUUAACUGUAUUAACAUCCUUCUGUGUUAAUUUUAAAACCUAUCCCAGUUUUCAGUUGUAUUGAUUAAUUUUCAUUAUUCUUGUGAAUAAUAAUUUUACUUUUUUGUAUAUCUGUUAACUUUUAGUUGAAAACAAGUUAUGGUGAGGUUUACAUUUCUAUAUGCUACAUAUAUUUGCAUUCAAAUAAUUUUUCCUAUGGUUUGUAGUGGGAUAAAGAUACAUUGCUUGAGAGCAGUUUGAUUCUUUCAGGUUUUACUUUUAUGACUUGUUAGAUAAGUCCAGGAUAGUUCUUGGCCAAGGGCUGGUCAAGUCCCAUUUCUGGAGCAAGGCUUCCUGCAUGCUAUACCGCAGGCUCCAUGACUGAUGAAGUUUCCACCUGGCUGAAGAACGGUCACCUCUCAGAUUUGGGGGCAGUUCUUUCUCUAGCCUCAGGUAGUCUUCUCACAAGCAUGUGCUUAUCAGAACUUUGCUAAAUAAUCACAAGUACCCUCUUUAGUUCUCUGGUGUUCUGUCCUUGAGCAGUUUGUUCUUCUCUGACACUGUGCCCAGCAAACCCGAACUGCAUGGUUUUCCUAGCCUCUCAGCUCUAACUCCUCAACCUCAGGAGUCCACCAAGCUAUGCAUGGGCUCCCCAAUGGUAAUUUUAAUUUUAUGGGUCAACUCAACUAGACUAUAGUGCCCAGUUGUUGGGUCAAAAUCUAGUGUAGAUAUUCUUGUGAAAAUAUUCUGUAGAUGUGAUUAACAUUUACAAACACUUGACUUCAAGCAAGGGAGAUUACUGUUGAUAAUGUGGGUGGGCAUCAUCCAAUCAGGUGAAGGACUGAAGAUGAAAAUUGAAGUUUUCAAAGAAGGAAUUCUGCCUCAAGGCUGUAAUGUAAGAAAUCCUUCCUGAUCUUCUGGCUUACUAGCCUGUCCCACAGAUUUCAGACUUGCCAGCAGUCCUCCCCAACAACUGUUUGAGCUACUGCCUUAAAACACACACACAUAUACAAACACACACACACACACACACACACACUCUUCAUCCUAUUGGCUCUGUCUCUCUGUAGAACCCUAAGUGAUAACUGAUACACUAUACUUAUAUUUUGCCCUGGAAGCUCUUUUAAAAAUCAGACUUACCUCAUUGUUUCUCACCUAUCAGGAUUUCUAUCCUUGCUGCCUUUUGCCCAGUGUCUUAAAACCCAUUGUUUCAUAGACACUGCCAUAUUUUGUUUGUUUCAGGAGAGAAGGUAAAUCUGGUUUCUAUUACUCCUUCUCCUGGAACUGGGAAGUUUUUAGUAACGUUCUUAGGUAUCAGUUUCUCUAAGAUGGCUUCACUCUCUUUGGGCCAAGCAGCUACUUAAAUCUGGCUGACCUCUUUCCCUUUGACACCCUUUUAUGCAUCCUCUGGAUACUUCUUGCUCAGUGCUAUUGACUUCACUUUCAUGGAUAGGAUUCUACUUCACCCUUAACUUCAGACUGCACUAGCCAACCCCCCAACCUCUUAAUUCUAGUGUCCAUUCGCCCCCUUACUGGGGUACGGGACUCUCCUGGAAAAACAUAUAUUUUAUAAGAAUGAUAAGCCCACAUCCCCAAAUGAGUUUGUUAUCUGAUUACCAGGACUUACAGAUUUGGAUUACUAGAUAAAACCCUCUUCAUUUUUACAUUCAUCUGCCAGAAAUAAGUAGCAUUUACUUAUCUCAGGGUACAUGUCAAGGUGCAAAAAGAGUGACUGUGCUAUGGUUUGAAUGUUCAUCCCCUCUGAAACUCGUCUUGCAACGUUGUUCUCAAUUUUGCAGCGUUGAGAGGUGGGGCCUUUGAGAGGUGAUUGGGUCAUGAGGGCUGCCCUCAUGAAUGGAUUAAUCUAUCCAUGUAUUAAUGGAUUAAUGAAUUAAUGGGUUAUCAUGGGAGUGGAAAUAGUGACUUUAUAAGAAGAGGAAGACAGACCUGAGCGAACAUGCUCAGCCUCCUCACCAUGUGAUUCUCUGCAUGGCCUUGGUAUUCUGCAGAGGGGCCCCACCAGCAAGAAGGCCCUCAUCAGAUGUGAUCCCUUGAUCUUGGACCUGCCUACCUUUGGGAAAUAAAUUUUGUUUCUUGUAAGUUACCCAGUUUCAGGUAUUCCGUUGUAAGCAACAGAAAACAGACUAUGAUGAAUACCAUUUUUUCUGGCAUUAACUCACAAUGUCAGUUCAGGUUGCUCAUUAUAGUCUUCUGUGUCUUGGUGUCCACCUGUCUUCUUUACCUUUAUGGACUUUUAUAAAAAGGUUGUCUAACCAUCAAUCAUCUAUCUAGCACCUAAAUCUCUAUAUGUGUUUAUCUUUCCACAUUUAAAUAUCUAAAGGAAAAAUUGUACAUUCCAUUUGAAGAAGUCAUCCACUUACAUUUCAGCAGAGAGUUUUGGGAGGAACUCAAGAACACCUAAACAAAAAGAAACCUGAAGACCAGACAGUAGCAUGUUAUAGCCAAAUUCUGAUUAAAAUGUGUUCUUUGACAUUUGAGAGGUCUUUUGAUUUCUAAGUAAAUGUGUUUUGAUUGACUUAGGUAGUCCUGUUGAACCUGUUAGGUAGUUCUGUCCCGUGUCCCAUCUAUUAAAGCUUCAGUUGUCCUUGAUAUUUAAGAGUUAAUGGUGUAGUAAUUUGUGCCAUGACUAACAAGGCUGAAUUACUUGUCAACACUGUGGCAGGUAUCUGUUUCCUAGUAACUCUUCAUGGGUCAGAUAUUGAGGUCAGUUCUGAAGAACUUGAGGAAAUGAGAGUAAGUAAGGAGAGAAAUGCUGGGUCGGACCUUACAUUUAAAAUUUUUUUUCAUGGAGAAAAACAUGAUCUUUGUGAAGAUGGAAGCAACUGUAAGUAAGCACUUAUGGAAUGUCUAGAAAAUUACUAUGAGGUAACCCUAAGGUCAAUGGAAUGCAUUAGAAUAUCUCUGCUUCUAGAGAAAAAAUAAAAUAAAAUAAAUGCUUAGCCAGAAAAAGAAAACAUGAGAUCAAACUUCUGCGUGUAAUAUCUUAAAGAGAUAUGAUUCACUUAAAUAAUUUUCCAAGCCUCUGUUAUUUACAAGGCAAAAAAAGAGAUCAUUUGAUUAAAUUUAAAUGGAAGUUUAUUUUGCCUUUCAUGUUCAUUUCAUACCAAAUGUAUGACGGUGUUCAACAUAUUUUAUGUGCUUUCUAUACCCCCCGUUUGCAAUACAAGUUGUCUUAAAUAUGAUCAAUAGAUUCAGUAUAUUGAUGUCCUUUGAAUGAUACUGAGAGCACAAUUUUGUGUUUGUUUUCUGUCUAAUCAUUUUCAGAAUCUGCUAUGAUGACACAUAUGGCAGGAUCUAUGAUAAAGCAAUUGUGCGUAUACAGACAGAAAUGAACCUAAAAUAUAACUUUGUAUUAAUGAAAAAAAUUGACAUUUGAUGGCGAAUAUUGUUAAUUGCAAUAAUAAGUAGAACACUGAAUGUAUAUGUAGAGGGCUGAGCAGUGUCCUCCCGAAAUAAAUACCUAUGUGGGAUCUUAUAAUGUGACCUCAUUUAGAAACAGGGUCUCUGCAGAAGUAAUUAGUUAAGGUGAGGUCAUACUGAUUUAGAGUGGGCCUUAAAUCUAAAGAAUGGUAUCCUCCUUAUAAGAAGGAGGAGGAUACACAGAGAAACACAGGAAAGGCCAGAUGACCACAGAGGCAAUGGAACAGACACUCUCCCAAAGCCUACAAAAGGAGCCAAUCCUGCUGACACCGUGAUUUCAGACUCCUGGCCCUCUGAGUUGUGAGAGUACAUUUCUGCUAUUUUAAGUUUGUAGCCAUUUGUUACGGCAACCCUAGGAAACUAAUAUAGUGCAUCCUGAUUACACUUAAAAAUUAAUUAAGUUAACUCUACCUCCAUAUUUCCCCAUACACUUUGUAUAAUCUAAUUUUUAAAUCAAGAUAAUAUGAUAGACUUUAAAAAAUAAUCUUCCCAAGCUACCUAAUUAAUUUUCUUCCAAUAACAUUACUCAGCAUAGUUUUUAUUUCUAAUGAAAAAUAUACAGCAAAGGAUUAUUUAUAAUGUGAUGGUUAACAUCAGUGUCUUGCUAAGAGUGUCUCACUCUUAAUACAAGAGACCUGUCUUUCCAAUGCAGUGCACUUGGUGGUGCACCUCCCACCGCCCCCUGGAGGACAAAGUGCUCAUAGCCCAAUUGCCCAGAAGGUUGAUCACAGGCAGCUCUCAGCUGAGACCCUCUCUGCAACUUCCCUUUGCUAAAGACAGCCACUUUGCCCCAAGACCAUGCCUCCUUUUUGGGGCAGCACACAUAGGAUGCCAAACAACAGCGGGGAUAAAGGCCAUCCCUUUUGUUUUCAUUAGGCAAUGCUCUAGUGCCUUUCCAGUUAGACAGAGCCUGCUGGGGUGGGUCGGUGUGACUGCUGAGGUCUUGUGAGAGCGUGAAAGCUUUCCACUUCCUCCUCUGCCCAGUCCUCCUUGUUCCUUCAUUACCCAAGAUGUGUUCAUCCCAAAAGCACCCCCAAUACAUUUCUUGCACACAAAUAUCAGUCUCACUGUUUUGCUUUCCCAGAAACCCUGAGUCACAGGAGAAAUAUCUUCAAGUCCAAUCUAAGCCACCAGUUCAAUCAUAUUUAGAAAAAGUUGAUAGAAUAUUCUGCCACAGUUUUCUCCCCAACAAAAAGAAGUCUGUACUCCUUGGUUAUUUGGCUUAGGUCUCCUAUAGGUCUAAACUACUGAGCAAUUCUAUAGCUAUUCCAUAUAUUUUCUCCCAAAUAAUACAAGCCCAAUAUAAUGGCAUAUGCUGGUUAUGAAAUAUGGAAAGGGUUGAGCUGCGGAUGUGAAUAAUAGCACAUAAAUACAUAUUUUCUGACCAUAGUCUGUUCAAUAUUUAGGAUUUUGCAAAAUGAAAAGAGAUAAUAAACAUAAGAAACAUGAAAAGGAGAGAAAGAGGGAAAUGAAGAGACUGUGUUUUGAGACAAAAAACUAAUUUUUAUUAACUGUGAGUAUUAAUGCUAUGGUCAAACUUUAGCAGUCAGUGUUAGCACAUGGUAGAUAUAAAUCACCUGAAACAAAGCUUACCUUUUCUUCCCAGUCUUCUCACUCUAAUCUAAAAAUUAUGAAAAAAAAAUGGACAAGGAAAGAAACAUAAGAGGCUUCUUAUUUCUUGCAUGCUCACUUUUAUACUGUAACUAGAAGAUUCCAAACAAAUACUGAUUGCAAAUUAUAUAAGGGAUGCUGCAUUUUGAAAUAAGUUAUAACCUCAACUCUUUUUUCCUAUUUAAUAUAAGUUUUGUAGGCUAAACUUGCCCUCUGAGAAGAUUGUUGAACAGGCAAGUGAAGUAAUUUGCUUGGUGUAAUCUUGGUGCUGAGGGAGAUAACUCCUUCUGUAUGAUAUUUAUAUAACGAGUCUUAUACCCACAAUUAGCUUUAGGAUGCCAUCUUAAAGGUGACCUUGAUUUAUUUAGCUGGUUAGUCAGUAGAUACUUUAUGGAGUUCAAUAUUCUAAAGAUUGAUCAGAAAAGGAAACUUUUAAUGUCCUUAAUGGGGUCAUUAGUGAUAUUACGGAGUGAAAUUAAACUGAAGGACAACCUCAACAAACCUUUUUUUAGUUCUAAUAGCAUACCCCUGGGAAAGUUAAUAGCUAGUAUAAAUUGGUGCCUAUUUCCUUUAUCUCAUUUUCAUUAUCUAGCUUAAAUAGAUAACAGAUGAUUAUGUUGAAUAUAAAUUAGAAGCAUUGCCUGUUUUCUAAACUUGACUCUUAUAAAAAUAAAUGCAUAAACCUUUAUAAAGUCAAGGAGAAUUUUUAUGGAGAUUCCAUGGUACUUUCCAAAAGUUGGUACUUUUUUAUGGUCAAUAACAGAACUGUUAACUUUUUUCACUGUGGAAUGACAGCAGUGGAUGCGUGACUCAACCAUUGAUUUCAAUUUUGAUUUGUGAAUAAUUACUCCAGAUGAUGAAGUGUGAGUUGCAACUCUCAUCAGGAAGGAAAGUAUCAGCCAGAGAGACAGUUUUCCACAUCCUAGGACAGAACACAGUUUCAUGUGCUGCACCCCAGUGAGGACUCUGUGAUACCUGGAGUGAACUCUGGAUAGAGAAAGAGAUUUAAAAGAACACCUGAAGGGAAAUAAGAAGAGAAACAGAAUAUGAAGAGGAUUCAACCAAAUAGAGCCAAUGAAGGAGACAGAGCAACUUAAAUAAUAAGAGCAAUUUUAAAAAAUGGGACAAAAAGGAAAGGAUACUCAGUGCAUAGUUGAUGGCUUAAGAAAAUAAGAUUUUUUUAUAUUAUACUUUAAGUUCUAGGGUACAUGUACACAACAUGCAGGUUUGUUACAUAUGUAUACAUGUGCCAUGUUGGUGUGCUGCACUCAUUAACUCGUCAUUUACAUUAGGUGUAUCUCCUAAUGCUAUCCCUCCCACUUCCCCCACCCCAUGACAGGCCCUGGGGUGUGAUGUCCCUCACCCUGUGUCCAAGUCUUAUUGUUCAGUUCCCACCUAUGAGUGACAACAUGCAGUGUUUGGUUUUCUGUCCUUGUGAUGGUUUGCUCAGAAUGAUGGUUUCCAGCUUCAUCCAUGUCCCUACAAAGUAGGACACGAACUAAUCCUUUUUAUGGCUGCAUAGUAUUCCAUGGUGUAUAUGUGCCACAUUUUCUUAAUCCAGGCUAUCGUUGAUGGACUUUUGAGUUGGUUCUAAGUCUUUGCUAUUGUGAAUGGUGCCGCAAUAAACAUACAUGAACAAAAAAAGUCCUUUUUUCAUGAUGUUCUCUUAUUUCUUGCUGAAAUAAAUGAAAAGAUUCAGUAUGUCCAAGUAUCCUUUAUAGCUAGGACCAGUGGUAUAGGAAGCUAGCCUCAAACUGUUUAUAAUAAAUAUGCAGGGAAAUCCAGAUAUUAGAAAGUCCAAUGAUAAAUCCAGUAUAAAUUUAUCAUAAUACAUAUUAAAAAAUAAAGCAAAUAAAAGCACCAAAAAGCCAACUAGAGCUAACAAACAAGUUUGCCAGAUCACAGAAUACAAAAUGAACAUAUAAAAAUAAAUAAAACCCAGUCACAAUAGUAUCAAAGACAAUAAAAUACUUAAGAAUAAAUUUAACAAAAGAAGUGUAACACUUGUAUGCUGAAAACUACAAAAUAAUGAUGAGAGAAAUUAAAAAUCUAAAUGAAUCAAGACACAUUCUAUAUUUAUGGUUGGAAGUCACAAUAUGUUAAAAUACCAUUUCUACCUUAAUUUAUCUGUCAAUUUCAACAGAAUCCAUUUCAAAGUCGCUGUGAGCUUUUUUUGUAGAAAUUAAAUGUUGAUCCAACAAAUUUAUACAGAAAUGAAAGUACUUGAAGCUUGAACCGUUUUCAAAAAAAUGAACAAAGUUGUAGGACUCAUAUUGCCUAAUUUAAAAAAUUACUAUAAGGUUGUAAUCAAGACAUUAUGAUAUACAUAAAGGAAUAGGUUAGAUCAGUGAAACAGUGUCAGAGUCAAGAAAUUUACCCCUACAUUCAUGGUCAAUUGCUUUCCGAAAAAACUGCCAAUUCAAUUCAGUUUGGAAAAGAUUGUCUUUUUACCAAAUGGUGGCAAGACAAUUUAAUAUCUACAUAAAAAAAUAAGAAGAAGAAGGAGAAGGAGGAUGAGGAGGAGGGGAUGGAGGAAAAGCUUCAUCCUUACCUCCUCAUGCCAUACACAGAAAAGAACUCAAAAUGCAUUACAGACCUAAAUGUAAAAUCCAAUAAUAGAAAGCUUCUAAAAGAAAACACAGGAGAAAAUCUAUAUGACCUUGAGUUAAACAAAGAGUUUUAGACGUGACAGCAAACACACAAUCUAUAAAAGAAAAAGAAAAAAUAAAUUAUAUUUCAAUAAAAUUAAAACAUUUUGUACUUCCAAAGAUACCAUUCAGAAAAUAAAAAGACCAGUUACAGACCAGGCAAAAACAUUUCCAAAUCGUAUAUCUGAUAAAAUACUUGCAGCUUAAAUGUAUUAAGAACUCUUAUAUCUCAGUAACAGACAACUCUAUAUUAAAAUGGACAAAAGGGUUUUUUUUAACAAAGAAGACAUAUGCAUGGUUAAUAAGCACAUAAAAAGGUGUUCAACAUCAUUAAUCAUUUUGGCAGUUUCUUAAAAAGUAAACUAUGAGCUUAUCAUAGAUUCCUACAAUUUUUCUCCUAGAAAUCUACUCAGUAGAAUAUGUGUAUCCACACGAGGACUUGGACAUAAGCACAUACUGCAGAAUUAUUCGUAAUAGCCAAAAAUGGCAACGUUCCAAAUGUCUAUCAACUGAUGAAUGAACCAACAAAAUGUGGUAUAUCUAUGCAGUGAAAUGGUAAUCAUGAUAAAUGACAUGAAUGAACUGCUGACAUAGUCCAUGACAUGGAUAAAGCUAAACUAUACUAAGCCAGGCAUUGGAAAACUUUUUUCUUAAAGGGCCAAAUAGUAAAUGCUUUAGGCUUUUCAGGUCCUAUUGUCUCUGUCAAUAACUCAAUUCUAUUGUUCCACAAAAGCAGCCAUAGACAAUGCAUAAACACAUGAGCAUGGCGUGUACCAUGAAAACUUUACAAAAAGAGACAGCAUGCCCACAACCCAUAGUUUGCCCCAAUCUGUGCUAAGUAAAAGAAAGAAAAUGCAAAAGUCUACAUAUUAUAUUAUUCCAUUUACAUUACAUAUCCAGAAAAGGCAUAUUACAAGAAUAGAAAACGGUGGAUUCCUGGGUCUGGAUGAGAGAACUGAGAUUGACUGGAAAUGGACUUGGGGAAAGUUUUAGGGGGAUAUAGUAAUUUUGUAAUCAUGGAUUAUGGUGAUUCCAGCACCGCUAUAUAAAUUUACUAAAUAUCAUUAAAUUUUCCACUUACAAUGAGCAAAUUUUGUGGCAUGUAAUUUAAACCUCAAUAUAGCUGUAAUGAAUAAACAAAAAGAAAAAUCAAGACUAAAUAAAAUAAGCAAUUGUUCAAUUCCUAUCAUUGGAAAAUGGAAAAGUAAGAAAUAUUUACAGAAAAUAACUUAAAUGUCCUUCUUGCUACUGUUGUAAGAAAAAGCAAAUAUUGGCAGUUAAUUAUGAAAAUAUUUCUCAUGAACUCAUGACCAAAAAUGAAGAGAAAUUUCAGAAAAUUUGCCUGCUCUGUCUGAUUGAUUUGUCGGCUUCUGAAUGAUCCUCUCCAGUCUCUCGAUAACUAGCAAGAUUUACAAGCUCUGCCAAUGUCAAUUGUCACCCACGUUGCAGAAUAUUCAGCAUAGUCUGAAGACCCUGGUCAAAGGGGAAAAUAUAAUAGAUUUUCAAUAAGUUGGUGUUGACAACUAGUAAAAUGACUAUACUUUUAAAAUUUAAUUAAUAUAUGUAAAAGUAGUAGUAGCUGAACUGUCAUAUUCUG
Molecule: long non-coding RNA, 20800 nt
Filed under: Homo sapiens (human)
Lineage: Eukaryota; Metazoa; Chordata; Mammalia; Primates; Hominidae
Description: HSALNT0122901
Source: RNAcentral